GGGGGAGGAGCCAAGAUGGCCGAAUAGGAACAGCUCCGGUCUACAGCUCCCAGCGUGAGCGACGCAGAAGACGGGUGAUUUCUGCAUUUCCAUCUGAGCAUGCAGCAAUAUGGUGGGGACGCAUACUACAGCUGAGCUCUGGACAGGAAGUUUUCCAUUUUAUGAGAAACUCAAACCACCAAGAAAACCAGCUUAUCUCACAAAAUAUUUUUAUACUUCUCUAGAACUCAGUAAGAGGCCCUCAACGGAUUGGAUGAUGCCUCUCCACGGUCCACAUCGGUGAGGGUGAUUGUCUUUACUCAGCCUAUUGAUUCAAACACUAAUCUCUUCUGGAAACACUCUCAGACUCACCCAGAAGUAAUGUUUGGCCAGCCAUCGGAGCAUCCUCUGGCUUAGUCAAGUUAACACAUAGAAUUAACCAUCACAGAAGGCAACAGAAAAACCUUUAAAGAAUCAAUAGAAAAUAUGUGCAUCAGAAAAUAUUGCUGGCUUACCCAAAAGCUAUUUCCCUUUUGUUCCUUACUAACAACUCUUACUUUGUUUAUAUUUGAGGAAGUAAUGUACUUAAGGAAGUUUUGUCUCUAACCCAGCAUUCAAGAAUGCGAAGACAAUCACGUUAAUCCCAUUUCCUCUACCAGUGAUUGGUGUGGAGGUGGGCAUAUCACUCACUUAUAACCAAAA
Molecule: long non-coding RNA, 681 nt
Filed under: Homo sapiens (human)
Lineage: Eukaryota; Metazoa; Chordata; Mammalia; Primates; Hominidae
Description: novel transcript
Source: RNAcentral